ACUCAAAUGAAUUGACGGGGGCCCGCACAAGCAGUGGAGCAUGUGGUUUAAUUCGAUGCAACGCGAAGAACCUUACCUGGGCUCGAAAUGUAGAGGACGAUCACAGAGAUGUGAUUUCCCGAAAGGGUCUCUAUAUAGGUGCUGCAUGGCUGUCGUCAGCUCGUGCCGUGAGGUGUUUGGUUAAGUCCAGCAACGAGCGCAACCCUUAUCGUUAGUUGCCAGCGCGUAAUGGCGGGAACUCUAACGAGACUGCCUAGGUUAACUAGGAGGAAGGUGAGGAUGACGUCAAGUCCGCAUGGCCUUUAUGUCCAGGGCUACACAUGUGCUACAAUGGUCGGUACAGAAGGCAGCGAAACCGUAAGGUGAAGCAAAUCCCAAAAGCCGAUCUCAGUUCGGAUUGUAGUCUGCAACUCGACUACAUGAAGUUGGAAUUGCUAGUAAUGGCGGGUCAGCAACACCGCCGUGAAUACGUUCCCGGGCCUUGUACACACCGCCCGU
This 498-nucleotide ribosomal RNA is filed under the name uncultured bacterium. RNAcentral describes it as "partial 16S ribosomal RNA". It matches the Rfam family "Bacterial small subunit ribosomal RNA", at positions 899 to 1397 of the family's 1533-position model. The record is from RNAcentral.